This 479-nucleotide ribosomal RNA is filed under the name uncultured bacterium. Its description in RNAcentral is "partial 16S ribosomal RNA". It matches the Rfam family "Bacterial small subunit ribosomal RNA", at positions 29 to 506 of the family's 1533-position model. The record is from RNAcentral.
AUGAACGCUGGCGGCGUGCUUAACACAUGCAAGUCGAGCGCGAAAGUUCCUUCGGGGAUGAGUAGAGCGGCGGACGGGUGAGUAAUACGUGAGAAUCUGCCCUUUAGUGAAGAAUACCCUCGAGAAAUCGAGGUUAAUGCUGCAUACGUCCCUUCGGGGAGAAAGAUGGCUUAAUUGCUGUCGCUAGAGGAUGAGCUCGCGCGCUAUUAGCUAGUUGGUGGGGUAAAGGCCUACCAAGGCGAUGAUGGCUAGCCGGCCUGAGAGGGUGAACGGCCACACUGGAACUGAGACACGGUCCAGACUCCUACGGGAGGCAGCAGUGAGGAAUAUUGCGCAAUGGGCGAAAGCCUGACGCAGCGACGCCGCGUGGAGGAUGAAGGUUUUAGGAUUGUAAACUCCUGUUAAGUGAGAAGAAAGACUCGUCACUAAUACUGACGAGUGAUGACGUUAUCACUAGAGAAAGCACCGGCUAACUUCGU